This 443-nucleotide ribosomal RNA is filed under the name Siphonaria sp. UF 367494. RNAcentral's name for it is "partial 16S ribosomal RNA". It matches the Rfam family "Bacterial large subunit ribosomal RNA", at positions 1817 to 2596 of the family's 2925-position model. Lineage: Eukaryota; Metazoa; Mollusca; Gastropoda; Siphonariida; Siphonariidae. The record is from RNAcentral.
AGCUCUUUGUAUUGAAUAAAGGGUGACACCUGCCCAAUGUCUUCGGAUUAAUGGCCGCAGUACUCUGACUGUGCAAAGGUAGCGUAAUCAGUUGGCUUUUAAUUGAAGUCUUGUAUGAAUGAGGAAACGGGAUAGAUCUGUCUCAAGAAAACUAUAUUGAAAUUGCUUAGAAGGUGAAAAUUCCUUCGUAUAAGAAAAAAGACGAGAAGACCCUAAGAGUUUUUACUAAAAAAAGUGUCAUACUUUUUAAGUUUUAGCUGGGGCGGCUAAGAAGCAAAUAUUUUAACCUUCUUAUAUUUACAUGCCAAGAUUUUUCGAAUGUGUAAACUACCUUAGGGAUAACAGCAUAAUCAAAUGUUUUUGGUUUGUGACCUCGAUGUUGGACUAGGAAUAUUUUUGACUAGCAGUUAAACGAUAGUGUUCUGUUCGAACUUUUUAAUCCU